RNAcentral lists this transfer RNA (56 nucleotides) under Betaproteobacteria bacterium RIFCSPLOWO2_02_FULL_65_20. RNAcentral's name for it is "tRNA-Arg". The record is from RNAcentral. Lineage: Bacteria; Pseudomonadati; Pseudomonadota; Betaproteobacteria.
GCGCCCGUAGCUCAGCUGGAUAGAGUACUGCCCUCCGAAGGCAGGGGUCGCACGUU